ACGCACGCUGGCGGCGUGCUUCACACAUGCCAGUCGAACGGAAAGGCCCUGCUUUUGUGGGGUGCUCGAGUGGCGAACGGGUGAGUAACACGUGAGUAACCUGCCCUUGACUUUGGGAUAACUUCAGGAAACUGGGGCUAAUACCGGAUAGGAGCUCCUGCUGCAUGGUGGGGGUUGGAAAGUUUCGGCGGUUGGGGAUGGACUCGCGGCUUAUCAGCUUGUUGGUGGGGUAGUGGCUUACCAAGGCUUUGACGGGUAGCCGGCCUGAGAGGGUGACCGGCCACAUUGGGACUGAGAUACGGCCCAGACUCCUACGGGAGGCAGCAGUGGGGAAUAUUGCACAAUGGGCGGAAGCCUGAUGCAGCAACGCCGCGUGCGGGAUGACGGCCUUCGGGUUGUAAACCGCUUUCGCCUGUGACGAAGCGUGAGAGACGGUAAUGGGUAAAGAAGCACCGGCUAACUACGUG
Molecule: ribosomal RNA, 467 nt
Filed under: uncultured bacterium
Lineage: Bacteria
Description: partial 16S ribosomal RNA
Rfam family: Bacterial small subunit ribosomal RNA
Source: RNAcentral